RNAcentral lists this ribosomal RNA (253 nucleotides) under uncultured bacterium. RNAcentral describes it as "partial 16S ribosomal RNA". It matches the Rfam family "Bacterial small subunit ribosomal RNA", at positions 524 to 776 of the family's 1533-position model. The record is from RNAcentral.
UACAGAGGUCUCAAGCGUUGUUCGGAUUCAUUGGGCGUAAAGGGUGCGUAGGUGGCGCUGUAAGUCGGGUGUGAAAUUUCGGAGCUUAACUCCGAAACUGCAUUCGAUACUGCGGUGCUUGAGGACUGGAGAGGAGACUGGAAUUCAUGGUGUAGCAGUGAAAUGCGUAGAGAUCAUGAGGAAGACCAGUGGCGAAGGCGGUUCUCUGGGCCUUACCUGACGCUGAGGAGCGAAAGCGUGGGGAGCGAACAGG